GGCAUGGUGAUGCAGUGGUUAGCACUUUUGCCUCUCAGCAGGAAAGUUCUGGGUUCGAUCCCCACGCCUGGGGCCU
Caranx melampygus (bluefin trevally) is the source of this 76-nucleotide non-coding RNA. Lineage: Eukaryota; Metazoa; Chordata; Actinopteri; Carangiformes; Carangidae. The record is from the annotation of a GenBank genome assembly.